AAUCAACGCUGGCGGCGCGCUUAACACAUGCAAGUCGAACGAGAAAGUCCCCUUCGGGGGGUGAGUAAAGUGGCGGACGGGUGAGUAACACGUGGGUUACCUGCCCUCAAGUGGGGAAUAACCCUGGGAAACUGGGGCUAAUACCGCAUACGAUCCCUCGGGAUGAAAGUCUUCGGACGCUUGAGGAGGGGCCCGCGGUCGAUUAGCUUGUUGGCGGGGUAAUGGCCCACCAAGGCAAAGAUCGAUAGCCGGCCUGAGAGGGCGCACGGCCACACUGGCACUGAGACACGGGCCAGACUCCUACGGGAGGCAGCAGUGAGGAAUCUUGGACAAUGGGGGAAACCCUGAUCCAGCGACGCCGCGUGAGUGAUGAAGCCUUUCGGGGUGUAAAGCUCUUUCAGCGGGGAAAAUAAUGAUGGUACCCGCAUAAGCAGCUGCGGCUAACUACGUGCCAGCAGCCGCGGUAAUACGUAGGCAGCAAGCGUUGUUCGGAAUUACUGGGCGUAAAGCGAGUGUAGGCGGUCUUCCAAAUAAGUUGUGAAAUCUCCUGGCUCAACCGGGAGGGUGCGGCGGAAACUGGCAGGC
RNAcentral lists this ribosomal RNA (585 nucleotides) under uncultured bacterium. RNAcentral describes it as "bacterial SSU rRNA". It matches the Rfam family "Bacterial small subunit ribosomal RNA", at positions 28 to 641 of the family's 1533-position model. The record is from RNAcentral.